Pan troglodytes (chimpanzee) is the source of this 1912-nucleotide long non-coding RNA. RefSeq lists it as uncharacterized. NCBI's taxonomy places the organism in Eukaryota, Metazoa, Chordata, Mammalia, Primates, Hominidae. The transcript has 3 exons. The record is from RefSeq and is a predicted model, not a curated record.
AGCUAGCUGCUCACAGGACAGCUCUGAAUCUGAAUCUGACUAAGCUUAUUCCAUCAAACUUCACUCCAGAAUUUUCAAAUCACCGAACCCCAAAGUUAUGGGAAUUUGUUGCCAAGGGAGAAAGACAGUGGAAUUUCUGCUUUCCUGAUCUGCAGAAACUCUAAAACUGACCCAAUAGAUAUGGAUAUCGCCUCAUCAGCAAAGCAGCCACUCUCGCAUAUUCUUUCCUGAAGGUAUAAUCCAAGAUUAAAUUCAGGGCUUCAAGACGGCUGUCUAGAGGCAUCUAGUAUUCACCUCUCUACAAAGAAGAGUCAAAACAGUGAGUAGAUAAUCACACUUUGAAUAGAUCGCCUAGAGAGAAGAUAGGGAUUCAAGAGAGAAAUGACAGAAAACACCUAAGGCAAGGAAUGAGAGGUAAGUGAGGCAGCCUGCUCAGCCAAACUUUGUUGGGUGCCUAGAGAGCUUCCCAUUGCAGGAAAAGGGUAAAUGAAAGACCCAAGAAGUCCACAUUCCCACUGUGAACUCCUGCAAUCCUAGCCAUGGGAGACCCCCUGACCUUCAUGGACCCUGAUACUAACAUAAAGAUCUGCCUGGAGAUUGUGCACCAGCAUUGUUACAGAGAGAGCUCAUGCUGAGUCCCACAAAACUCUGAGUCCCAAGCACCUACAGCUACAGCAUAGCACCAGUUUGAGGCCUUAACCCUCAUCAGACUACUACAUACUGCCAGGAUCUCAAUAGCCCCUGCAUCUUUAUAUCUCUGAAGUCCUACUGAUAUUCCCUGCCAGCAGCCAGGCACCAUUUCUAGAUGCUGCUGCCAGGGCAACAACAUGAACCAUUGGCAGCAACCCCCACUAUCCCCAGAGAAUCUUAGCCUCUGUGCUUUUACAAGCGUACUAAGGAAAGGCUACCUGCUUGCAGCCACUAACUGGGGCCAAAGCAUAUGGUACCCAGCCACCUGCCUAAGGCUGCUCCCAGCGAAAGGAACCCCACUUUCCCCAGCAACUGCUGCUCCAACCUGAGCAUUCUGACAGGGACCUGAAGAUCACUCCACCCCUGUCUGCCACAGCCAGCACCUGCAUGCACCACUGGGAAGCCAGAGGACAGGCCCACCAAGCCCAGCUCCACAGGACCCAAGCAUGCUAUCUGGGAGCCUGGGAAUUACCUGGCACAACCCACCACCAGUGACACCUGAGCACUCCUCCUGGUGGCUUAACAGCAGGCCUACCUCACAUUCCACUACCACCAGAGCAGGCACCCACCUGCACACACCACCUGUGGGCCUGGAGACUGGCCUUGCUAGCCCAUUGCAGCCACCACUAACACUGGUGUAGACCACUUGGGAGAUAGGGUUGUUCUGCCACUGCACUGCCAUUGCCUGUACCAUGCCCAUGUCCCAGAAGCCCAAAAACCUGUCCACCUACCAGGCCCACUGCUGCUAUUCCUAGCAUUUGAGCAAGUUAUGUGGAGGCCCAAAUAUAAGCCUGUCUGGACUUUCCAACUUCAGUGCCAGCAUAUGCAUAUGCUUCCCUGGGGCAAAGAACAGGCACCACUUCCACCAUUAGGGUCCAAGGGUUGGCCUACUUGACAUCCCUGUCACCAGCAAAUUUUCACCACAGACUCCACUAACAACCAACAUAGGCCACUGAGCAAAUCACAGACACUACUGAUUCUGUUUACAGUGAAAUAAAUCAUAUGAAAACUAUACUAUGCACCCAGGAUCAAAGUCAAAGUGCCCAACACAAUUGACACCAUAGAUACAACUUUAGGAAAAUGUCCUCCCCUAUUAAAGAGAAUUCAAAAAAUUAGAAGAAGUGACUGUUACACUACAGGCACAGAUAUCAAUGUAAGGACACAAGAAACAUGAAAAAGCAAGAGAACAUGACACCUCCAAGAAAUGCAAUAAUUCUUCCAC